GAUGAACGCUGGCGGCGUGCCUAAUACAUGCAAGUCGAGCGAACGGACGAGAAGCUUGCUUCUCUGAUGUUAGCGGCGGACGGGUGAGUAACACGUGGAUAACCUACCUAUAAGACUGGGAUAACUUCGGGAAACCGUAGCUAAUACCGGAUAAUAUUUUGAACCGCAUGGUUCAAAAGUGAAAGACGGUCUUGCUGUCACUUAUAGAUGGAUCCGCGCUGCAUUAGCUAGUUGGUAAGGUAACGGCUUACCAAGGCAACGAUGCAUAGCCGACCUGAGAGGGUGAUCGGCCACACUGGAACUGAGACACGGUCCAGACUCCUACGGGAGGCAGCAGUAGGGAAUCUUCCGCAAUGGGCGAAAGCCUGACGGAGCAACGCCGCGUGAGUGAUGAAGGUCUUCGGAUCGUAAAACUCUGUUAUUAGGGAAGAACAUAUGUGUAAGUAACUGUGCACAUCUUGACGGUACCUAAUCAGAAAGCCACGGCUAACUACGUGCCAGCAGCCGCGGUAAUACGUAGGUGGCAAGCGUUAUCCGGAAUUAUUGGGCGUAAAGCGCGCGUAGGCGGUUUUUUAAGUCUGAUGUGAAAGCCCACGGCUCAACCGUGGAGGGUCAUUGGAAACUGGAAAACUUGAGUGCAGAAGAGGAAAGUGGAAUUCCAUGUGUAGCGGUGAAAUGCGCAGAGAUAUGGAGGAACACCAGUGGCGAAGGCGACUUUCUGGUCUGUAACUGACGCUGAUGUGCGAAAGCGUGGGGAUCAAACAGGAUUAGAUACCCUGGUAGUCCACGCCGUAAACGAUGAGUGCUAAGUGUUAGGGGGUUUCCGCCCCUUAGUGCUGCAGCUAACGCAUUAAGCACUCCGCCUGGGGAGUACGACCGCAGGGUUGAAACUCAAAGGAAUUGACGGGGACCCGCACAAGCGGUGGAGCAUGUGGUUUAAUUCGAUGCAACGCGAAGAACCUUACCAAAUCUUGACAUCCUUUGACAACUCUAGAGAUAGAGCCUUCCCCUUCGGGGGACAAAGUGACAGGUGGUGCAUGGUUGUCGUCAGCUCGUGUCGUGAGAUGUUGGGUUAAGUCCCGCAACGAGCGCAACCCUUAAGCUUAGUUGCCAUCAUUAAGUUGGGCACUCUAAGUUGACUGCCGGUGACAAACCGGAGGAAGGUGGGGAUGACGUCAAAUCAUCAUGCCCCUUAUGAUUUGGGCUACACACGUGCUACAAUGGACAAUACAAAGGGCAGCGAAACCGCGAGGUCAAGCAAAUCCCAUAAAGUUGUUCUCAGUUCGGAUUGUAGUCUGCAACUCGACUACAUGAAGCUGGAAUCGCUAGUAAUCGUAGAUCAGCAUGCUACGGUGAAUACGUUCCCGGGUCU
RNAcentral lists this ribosomal RNA (1372 nucleotides) under uncultured bacterium. Its description in RNAcentral is "bacterial SSU rRNA". It matches the Rfam family "Bacterial small subunit ribosomal RNA", at positions 28 to 1381 of the family's 1533-position model. The record is from RNAcentral.